Molecule: ribosomal RNA, 435 nt
Filed under: uncultured bacterium
Lineage: Bacteria
Description: partial 16S ribosomal RNA
Rfam family: Bacterial small subunit ribosomal RNA
Source: RNAcentral
AGCGAACGCUGGCGGCAGGCUUAACACAUGCAAGUCGAGCGGGCAUCUUCGGAUGUCAGCGGCAGACGGGUGAGUAACACGUGGGAACGUACCCUUCGGUUCGGAACAACUCUGGGAAACUGGAGCUAAUACCGGAUACGCCCUUAUGGGGAAAAGUUUACUGCCGAAGGAUCGGCCCGCGUCUGAUUAGCUAGUUGGUGGGGUAACGGCCUACCAAGGCGACGAUCAGUAGCUGGUCUGAGAGGAUGAUCAGCCACACUGGGACUGAGACACGGCCCAGACUCCUACGGGAGGCAGCAGUGGGGAAUAUUGGACAAUGGGCGCAAGCCUGAUCCAGCCAUGCCGCGUGAGUGAUGAAGGCCUUAGGGUUGUAAAGCUCUUUUGUCCGGGACGAUAAUGACGGUACCGGAAGAAUAAGCCCCGGCUAACUUCGUG